CCCAAGCCGACUGGAGAAGAGCCUA
RNAcentral lists this non-coding RNA (25 nucleotides) under Mus musculus (house mouse). The record is from RNAcentral. Lineage: Eukaryota; Metazoa; Chordata; Mammalia; Rodentia; Muridae.